CCAGGCGGCUAGGCAUUCGCUGGUUGCCCCCUUUCGAGGGGGGACGAGAGGAAAGUCCGGGCUUCAAAGGGCAGGGUGCUGGUUAACGGCCAGUGGGGGCAACCCCAAGGAAAGUGCCACAGAAAACAGACCGCCCGCACAAGCGGGUAAGGGUGAAAAGGUGCGGUAAGAGCGCACCGCGAUCUUGGUGACAAGGUCGGCACGGUAAACCCCACCCGAAGCAAGGCCGAAUAGGGAGACACCGGGGUGGCCCGCCCUGUCUCCGGGUUGGCUGCAUGAGGGCGUCGGCAACGGCGCCCCUAGAUGAAUGAAUGCCACCGGCGCGCAAGCGUCGGGACAAAACCCGGCUUACGGCCGCCUGGGGCC
Molecule: RNase P RNA, 366 nt
Filed under: Proteobacteria bacterium CG1_02_64_396
Lineage: Bacteria; Pseudomonadati; Pseudomonadota
Also listed under: 1 other name
Description: RNase P RNA component class A
Rfam family: Bacterial RNase P class A
About the family: Ribonuclease P (RNase P) is a ubiquitous endoribonuclease, found in archaea, bacteria and eukarya as well as chloroplasts and mitochondria.
Source: RNAcentral